GAUGAAGAACGUAGCGAAAUGCGAUAAGUAGUGUGAAUUGCAGAAUUCAGUGAAUCAUCGAAUCUUUGAACGCACAUUGCGCCCCUUGGUAUUCCAUGGGGCAUGCCUGUUCGAGCGUCAUUUGUACCUUCAAGCUCUGCUUGGUGUUGGGUGUUUGUCUCGCCUCUGCGUGUAGACUCGCCUCAAAACAAUUGGCAGCCGGCGUAUUGAUUUCGGAGCGCAGUACAUCUCGCGCUUUGCACUCAUAACGACGACGUCCAAAAGUACAUUUUUACACUCUUGACCUCGGAUCAGGUAGGGAUACCCGCUGAACUUAAGCAUACAAUAGCGGAGGA
RNAcentral lists this unclassified non-coding RNA (335 nucleotides) under soil metagenome. Its description in RNAcentral is "partial contains 5.8S ribosomal RNA, internal transcribed spacer 2, and large subunit ribosomal RNA". The stretch from base 1 to 120 matches the Rfam family "5.8S ribosomal RNA", at positions 35 to 154 of the family's 154-position model. The record is from RNAcentral.